Molecule: unclassified non-coding RNA, 253 nt
Filed under: uncultured Flavobacteriales bacterium
Lineage: Bacteria; Pseudomonadati; Bacteroidota; Flavobacteriia; Flavobacteriales
Description: contains 16S-23S intergenic spacer region
Rfam family: Bacterial small subunit ribosomal RNA
Source: RNAcentral
UACGUACCGCACAAACGUUAUUCGGAAUCACUGGGCUUAAAGGGUUCGCAGGCGGCCUAAUAAGUCAGUGGUGAAAUCCCAUAGCUCAACUAUGGAACUGCCAUUGAUACUGUUAGGCUUGAAUGUAGUUGAAGUAGGCGGAAUGUGUAGUGUAGCGGUGAAAUGCUUAGAUAUUACACAGAACACCGAUAGCGAAGGCAGCUUACUAAACUAUGAUUGACGCUCAUGAACGAAAGCGUGGGGAGCGAACAGG